UAGAACUCAGGAGAAGGAACUCGGCAAAUUGAUACCGUAACUUCGGGAGAAGGUAUGCCCCUGGUACGUGAAGGCCCUUGCGGCCGGAGCGGAACGGGGUCGCAGAGAAUCGGUGGCCGCGACUGUUUAUUAAAAGCACAGCACUCUGCAAACACGAAAGUGGACGUAUAGGGUGUGACGCCUGCCCGGUGCCGGAAGGUUAAGUGAUGGGGUGCAAGCUCUUGAUCGAAGCCCCGGUAAACAGCGGCCGUAACAAUAACGGUCCUAAGGUAGCGAAAUUCCUUGUCGGGUAAGUUCCGACCUGCACGAAUGGCGUAACGAUGGCCACACUGUCUCCUCCUGAGACUCAGCGAAGUUGAAAUGUUUGUGAAGAUGCAAUCUCCCCGCGGCUAGACGGAAAGACCCCAUGAACCUUUACUGUAGCUUUGCAUUGGACUUUGACGGGACUUGUGUAGGAUAGGUGGGAGGCUUUGAAGCCGGGACGCUAGUUCCGGUGGAGCCAUCCUUGAAAUACCACCCUGGUGUCGUCGAGGUUCUAACCCAGGCCUGUGAAUCCAGGUCGGGGACCGUGCAUGGUGGGCAGUUUGACUGGGGCGGUCUCCUCCCAAAAGGUAACGGAGGAGUACGAAGGUCACCUAGGUACGGUCGGACAUCGUACUGAUAGUGCAAUGGCAAAAGGUGGCUUGACUGCGAGACCCACAAGUCGAGCAGGUGCGAAAGCAGGUCGUAGUGAUCCGGUGGUUCUGUAUGGAAGGGCCAUCGCUCAACGGAUAAAAGGUACUCUGGGGAUAACAGGCUGAUUCCGCCCAAGAGUUCACAUCGACGGCGGAGUUUGGCACCUCGAUGUCGGCUCAUCACAUCCUGGGGCUGUAGCCGGUCCCAAGGGUAUGGCUGUUCGCCAUUUAAAGUGGUACGUGAGCUGGGUUUAAAACGUCGUGAGACAGUUUGGUCCCUAUCUGCCGUGGGCGCUGGAAGUUUGAGAGGGCCUGCUCCUAGUACGAGAGGACCGGAGUGGACGCACCCCUGGUGUACCGGUUGUGACGCCAGUCGCAUCGCCGGGUAGCUAUGUGCGGAAGAGAUAACCGCUGAAAGCAUCUAAGCGGGAAACUCGCCUCAAGAUGAGACUUCCCCGGGGCCUCGAGCCCCCUGAAGGGUCGUUGAAGACCACAACGUUGAUAGGUCGGGUGUGUAAGCGUGGCAACACGUUCAGCUAACCGAUACUAAUUGCCCGUGUGGCUUGAUCC
This 1244-nucleotide ribosomal RNA is filed under the name metagenome. RNAcentral's name for it is "bacterial LSU rRNA". It matches the Rfam family "Bacterial large subunit ribosomal RNA", at positions 1694 to 2925 of the family's 2925-position model. The record is from RNAcentral.